GUGCUCAUUUUGGCAGCACAUGUACUAAAAUUGGAACAAUGCAGAGAAGAUUAGCAUGGCCCUUGCAUAAGAAUGACACUCAAAUUCAUGAAGCGGUCCAUAUUAAA
This is a small nuclear RNA of Nannospalax galili (Upper Galilee mountains blind mole rat), 107 nucleotides long. NCBI's taxonomy places the organism in Eukaryota, Metazoa, Chordata, Mammalia, Rodentia, Spalacidae. The record is from Ensembl.